RNAcentral lists this transfer RNA (71 nucleotides) under Marmota monax (woodchuck). Its description in RNAcentral is "tRNA.Ala". It matches the Rfam family "tRNA". From Rfam's summary of the family: Transfer RNA (tRNA) molecules are approximately 80 nucleotides in length. Their secondary structure includes four short double-helical elements and three loops (D, anti-codon, and T loops). The record is from RNAcentral. Lineage: Eukaryota; Metazoa; Chordata; Mammalia; Rodentia; Sciuridae.
GGGGUUGUGGCUCAGAGGUAGAGUGCUCGCCUAGCAUGUGUGAGGCACUGGGUUUGAUCCUCAGCACCACA